Molecule: long non-coding RNA, 1965 nt
Organism: Caretta caretta (loggerhead turtle)
Lineage: Eukaryota; Metazoa; Chordata; Testudines; Cheloniidae
Source: RefSeq, a predicted model, not a curated record
AGCACCGCUCCGAUGAACUCUAUUCUCUGUACCGAGAUGAGGUUUGACGUCUGAUACUUUAUCAAUAGACCCAGUGUUUGAAAGGUUGCCUGAAUGAGGUGGAUAUUGUUCUUCCCCUGCGCCUUGGACUGGCCUUUGAUCAGCCAGUCAUCGAGGUACAGGUAAAUUUGCACCCCUCGCUUUCUUACAAAGGCAGCAACUACUGCCAUGCAUUUCACGAAGACCUGUGUGGCUGCCAACAGGCCAGAUGGGAGAACAGCGAACUGGUCAUGGGUCUGAUUCACAAAAAUCUGAGAAAACUUCUGUGCCCUCAGAAAAUCAAGCAAUGAAAAUAGCCGUCUGUCAAAUGGAGGAUGGUGUACCAGUCCCUGAGAUCCAGGGAGGGAACGAUGGAGGCCAGGGAGACCAUGCAGAACUUUUAGCUUUUUGAGACAGCUGUUGAGGCAGCACAGGUCUAAAAUGCCUCUAUUUUGCUUCUUGUGCAGAUCCUGACAGGGUGGUAGAGCUGAGAAAUGGGUGAGCUGUUAAGGCCUGAAAUAUUUCCUCGAAAGGCACCAUGGCAGAGAGACUCAGGGACUUCAGGGUCGCUCUGGAGUCCUUCCAGACAUGGAGCUUCACAUCUGUUGGCUCUGAGAAGAGUGAGGACCCUUCAAACAGAAGACCCUGAAGGGAUUGCUGGACCUCCACAGAACAGGCCUUCUUGACCUCCAUCCAUCAGCCAUGGAGUAACCAGGCUUUAAGGUUGGGGUUCGGGUGACGGACUCAUCCCGCAUCUUGUGAUAGACGGUACUGUGACAGACUCAGACCAGAAGGAUAUAAGAGAGUAGUGGAAGGGAGGUAUAUCAGCCUCAGAAUGAGUAGAUCCCUGUCCCCUGGAUAGCCAAACAAAGGCUACUCCAGGCCAAUCAAGACGCCUGACACCAAAUUAACCAGUUAAGGUAGUUAGGCUAAUACCAGCACCUGACCUCAAUUAACUGGCAAAGGGUCAGUUAAGGCCAUUAGGUUAACGGAGACAGCUGGAACCAAUUAAGGUCCUACUCAUACUGCUUAAAAGCUCUCCUUUCCAGUUCUCUUGAGAAGCCCAGGUGAAGGGAGCUGAAGGAGAGGGAGUAUUGCUGAAUCCUGAGGUAAGGGUGAAGCUUGGGAAAAGGCGACCAUGGAGAAGCGGCCCAGAGAACCAAAGCAGCAUCAUCGGUGAAGGGAAAAAGCCACCAACAGCUGCUACCAUUAGGGUCCCUGGGCUGGAACCCCGAGUAGAGGGCAGGCCCGGGUUUCCCCCUUCCCCCUCACUCUACUUCCCCUCUCAAGGGGAAUCUCUAUAGACUUUGGUUCAGGCAAGAGACCAAACUGAACCUACUGAGCUCUAAGGAACAACAGAGACUGUGGGUAUUCCACCUUCCAUGCUGGCCUGUGAUGAAAGUAGCUCAAUAAGCUGUGACCUUUGCUGCUAUACUGGGAAAGGAAGGUCAUAUUGAGGGUGUUAGUGAGCUUCUGAGGCCACUGAAUCCACCUGGAAGCACGGGACCCACCAAUACAGGCUCGGAGCUUUGUCACAGUACGUAAAUGCCAAGGGUUUUUAAGGUCGCCCUUGAGUCUUUUACACGGGACCCACCAAUACAGGCUUGGAGCUUUGUCACAGUACGUAAAUGCCAAGGGUUUUUAAGGUCGCCCUUGAGUCUUUUAGGGUGUGUAACGAAACAUCGGUUUUGUCUGCAAAUAAUUUCUGCCCCUCAAAGGGUAAAUCCUCAACCGUUGUCUGGACCUCCCUUGGGAGCCUGGAGAGGUGGAGCCAUGAUGCAUGCUGCAUGACCACGGAUGUCACAAUGGAUCAUGCUGCCGUGUCUGCCGAGUCAAGGAGGUCUGGAGGGCCCUCCUGGCAAUGAGACCCCCUUCAGAAAUGUUUGCAUUCUACUGUUCUUUUUUGUCAUCUUGUAAAUUUUCAAUAAAAGUUGACCUUUUGGAGAA